This 440-nucleotide ribosomal RNA is filed under the name uncultured bacterium. Its description in RNAcentral is "bacterial SSU rRNA". It matches the Rfam family "Bacterial small subunit ribosomal RNA", at positions 338 to 795 of the family's 1533-position model. The record is from RNAcentral.
CCUACGGGAGGCACCAGUGGGGAAUAUUGGACAAUGGGCGCAAGCCUGAUCCAGCAAUGCCGCGUGUGUGAAGAAGGUUUUCGGAUUGUAAGGCACUUUCAGCGGGGACGAUGAUGACGGUACCCGCAGAAGAAGCCCCGGCUAACUUCGUGCCAGCAGCCGCGGUAAUACGAAGGGGGCAAGCGUUGCUCGGAAUGACUGGGCGUAAAGGGCGCGUAGGCGGUUGUUACAGUCAGAUGUGAAAUUCCCGGGCUUAACCUGGGGGCUGCAUUUGAUACGUGACGACUAGAGUGUGAGAGAGGGUUGUGGAAUUCCCAGUGUAGAGGUGAAAUUCGUAGACAUUGGGAAGAACACCGGUGGCGAAGGCGGCAACCUGGCUCAUGACUGACGCUGAGGCGCGAAAGCGUGGGGAGCAAACAGGAUUAGAUACCCUAGUAGUC